Molecule: ribosomal RNA, 671 nt
Filed under: Thelephora caryophyllea
Lineage: Eukaryota; Fungi; Basidiomycota; Agaricomycetes; Thelephorales; Thelephoraceae
Description: eukaryotic LSU rRNA
Rfam family: 5.8S ribosomal RNA (bases 253-407)
Source: RNAcentral
AAAGUCGUAACAAGGUUUCCGUAGGUGAACCUGCGGAAGGAUCAUUACUGAACUGUUGACACGAGCUGUUGCUGGUCCUCAAUGAGGGGGCAUGUGCACGCUCUGUUUACAAAUCCACUCACACCUGUGCACCCUUUGUAGUUCUAUAUGGUCUGGGGGACAUGCUGUCUUCCUCCUGUAGCUCUACGUUUUUACACAUACACCGUAGCAAAGUCUUAUGGAAUGUGCACCGCGUCUAACGCAAUACAAUACAACUUUCAGCAACGGAUCUCUUGGCUCUCGCAUCGAUGAAGAACGCAGCGAAAUGCGAUAAGUAAUGUGAAUUGCAGAAUUCAGUGAAUCAUCGAAUCUUUGAACGCACCUUGCGCCCCUUGGCUACUCCGAGGGGCAUGCCUGUUUGAGUAUCAUGAACACCUCAACUCUCAUGGUUCGCCGUGAUGAGCUUGGACUUCUGGAGGUUUUGCUGGCCUUUGGUCAGCUCCUCUCAAAUGUAUCAGCUUGCCAGUGUUUGGUGGCGUCAUGGGUGUGAUAACUAUCUACGCUUGUGGCUGUCUGUCAGGUAACCUUCAGCGAUGGAGGUUCGCUGGAGCUCACAAAAGUCUCUCCUCAGUGAAGACAGCUUUUUGUACGUUCGAUCUCAAAUCAGUAGGACUACCCGCUGAACUUAAGCA